Molecule: long non-coding RNA, 473 nt
Filed under: Salvia miltiorrhiza (redroot sage)
Lineage: Eukaryota; Viridiplantae; Streptophyta; Magnoliopsida; Lamiales; Lamiaceae
Description: long non-coding RNA (SMIL_LNC003475)
Source: RNAcentral
CGGCGUUUAUCGGCGCAAGACUUUUGUCUAUCUUGAGUUUCUUUGAUUCUUUGUUUGAUGUGGUCGACUUUCUCAAUCAUCUGUUGGACCAGUUCAGGACCUAACAACAUUCUUUCACCCACUUCAUCUUAGUAAAGUGGUGAACUACCUUAAUUGUUUCGUUUGUCCUAAGUCACCUUCUCAGAUUUGACUAGGAAAUUCUAACAUCAAACUUUUCUCAUCAUCUUGGUAACUUUCACUUAAAGAUUAAUGGCACUCCUUCUGCCAUGUAAACUCAUUUUCUCAUUUCCAAAUGAUUAUUUAAUGGGUUUCUAAGUUUCGAUUGUGGUGGUGUUCCAACUUUAUUCUUGCUGUAGCUUCUGGCACUUUAGCCAAAGCAUUCACUCUCUUAACUUGAGCCUACUAGCCUUGGGGUUGGGUUAUACCUUAAGUUUAGUUCUAGUGCUUUCCUUCCAUUUCCUUUUUCUUUACCU